Molecule: non-coding RNA, 23 nt
Filed under: Cricetulus griseus (Chinese hamster)
Lineage: Eukaryota; Metazoa; Chordata; Mammalia; Rodentia; Cricetidae
Source: RNAcentral
GCGCCAUGUCGGGUUCCUCGAGC